RNAcentral lists this long non-coding RNA (32374 nucleotides) under Salvia miltiorrhiza (redroot sage). RNAcentral describes it as "long non-coding RNA (SMIL_LNC008008)". Lineage: Eukaryota; Viridiplantae; Streptophyta; Magnoliopsida; Lamiales; Lamiaceae. The record is from RNAcentral.
GAUCAUCCCAUGCAUUUACAUGGACACAGCUUCUAUGUUGUCGGAUCUGGAUACGGGAACUUCGACCCAAACACGGAUCCGCCAAACUUUAAUCUCAUUGACCCGCCGUUGGUGAACACGGUUGCCGUUCCAAGAAGUGGAUGGAGCGCUAUCAGAUUUAAGGCUAACAAUCCAGGUUCCCAUCUCCUUUUCCUUCAUAAAUUGUUAAGCAAAAGUCUCAUAGUUUAUUAAGUAAUUAAAGUUGCAUUAAUAUUAUGGCGCGCAGGAGUGUGGUUCAUGCACUGUCAUUUCGAGCGUCAUCACAGUUGGGGAAUGAAGAUGGCGUUCAUCGUUAAGGACGGGGAAGGCCCCAAUGAGAAGAUGUUGCCUCCGCCCCCAGAUAUGCCCCUCUGUGAACCGCCCCCUGCAGCCUCAACAAUUUAGGAUUAAUUAAUUAUAUCAAUCCGCACGUAUUGUAAAAUUGAGUCUUACUUACACAAGGCUCACCAUGAUUCAUAAGAAAACCAGCAUGGGUUUCUUUUAUUUAAACUAGGGUUAUUUCUUCUAGUCCUUCCUUCUGUACACCAUCAAUGUUUCUUUAAUUUUGUCAUUUUAGUAUGUCCACAUAAUAUGUUCCCUUUUAUUUUUAAACAUUACCCCAUAACACAAUUUACUAUAGUAGGACUCAUACAUCACUCCUCCACCACACAAUAUGUGAUUUUUUAUAUAAAAAAUUGGACAAUUCAUAUGUAUUUUAUGCAAAAUGACACUUUCUUUUUCUCUUUCCUUUUUUUCACAUUAUGAUGGGAGUAUUAUCGUAAAAAUGCAUAUAUCGUUAUUUAUUUUAGAGUGAAUUUUGAAAAUAGCCACUUUAAAAUAGUAAAAUUAAAAAAUACCCACUAAGAUAAAAAAAAUUUUAAAAAAUACUCACAUUUACCAUUUUACCCUUACAUAUAAAUUUUUUACAAAUACCCACAGUUCACUAGUUGUGAAUUCAAGUUUUAAAACUCGAAUUCACAACUGAAUAACAAGUACUAAUUGUUGUGAAUUCAAGUUUUAAAGUUUGAAUUCACAACUAUAAAUAGUGUUAGUUGUGAAUUCGCGUCAAUUCAUAACCAACACUAUUUCUACUUGUGAAUUCACAACCAAUAAAACUUGAAUUCACAAUCAACACUAUUUUCAAGUUGUGAAUUCACAACCAAUAAAACUUGAAUUCACAACCAAUACGGUCAAGAUUCGUAUUAAAUUUUGUAUACAAUAAUAUAAUAUAUUUAUAAUUCUAGUAGUUGUUUAUUACGCUUGGAUUUCGAUCUUGACUUGUGGUGUGAAUUUUGAAAACAUGUAACCAUUUCAAUUUUAAAAGUUUUGAAGUAAAAAAAUAAAUAAAAUUAUUCUAAAUAUCAAUUUUGCAGUCCCGAAAACAAAUCACAUAUUAUAAUUUGACAAAGGCAUUUUAAGAAUAAUAAUAUAUUUCAUAUUUCAUAAAAAAUACCAUAUUUUAAUGAAUGACCAUAUUUUAUGUAGGAGUAUAUUUUUUUAAAUCUAAAUAACAUGUUUAUAUGAAAUGAGUCAAUGACCAAUAUAGAAUUUACUACUCCCUCCGUCCAUGAAAAAGAGUCCCACUUGGAAUUUGGCUCGGGUUUUAAAAAAGUUGUUAAAGUAGAUGUAAGUGAGAUAAAUGUAUAAUUUGUUGGGGUAUUAUUAGCACAAAAAAGUAGAAUAAAAGUACACUUUUAGUUAAAAAGUGGAAUAAAAGUACAAUUUAUAGUUAAAUGUAAAAUAAAAGGUAUGAUGUGAUGGUUCAAAAAAUUAAAUAAAACUCUUUUUCAUGANAUUUUUAUUUUACCUAAAUAUCGUUUUUUGCCUAUUUUUUUUCGAAAAAUAUAUUUUAUUUUUAAAUUGUUUUUUUAUUUUUUUUAUCGUUUUAUAAUUUUUCUUUUAAAAUAUUAUUUCCUUAAAAUUUCUCAACUACUUUUAAUCUUUUCCUAAACAUAUUUUAUUUACAUUUUUAUUUUACCUAAAUUUUGUUUUUUUAUGCCAUUUUUUUUCGAAAAAUAUAUUUUAUUUUUAUAUUGCUUUUUUUUAUUUUUUUUAUCAUUUUAUUAUUUUUCUUUUAAAAUAUUAUUUCCUUAAAUUUCCCAACUACUUUUAAUCUUUUCCUAAAUAUAUUUUAUUUACAUUUUUAUUUUACCUAAAUUUUGUUUUUUUUUUUGCCAUUUUUUUUUCGAAAAAUAUAUUUUAUUUUAAAUUGUUUUUUAAUUUUUUUAUCAUUUUAUUAUUUUUCUUUUAAAAUAUUAUUUCCUUAAAUUUCUCAACUACUUUUAAAAUUUAUAUUUUUUUCGAAACUAAUAUUUUAGUUGUUUUAAGAGUAAAUUUUUAUUUUUUUCCAAAAUUAUGUUUUAUUAAUUUGUUUCCAGAUUUUUAUUAUUAUUAUUAUUAUUAUUAUUAUUAUUAUUUAUUUAUUUUUUGAAAUUAAAUAUUUUUUUUCAAAUUUUAUUUUUAUGGGAAUUUAGUAUUUUAGUUAUUUUUUGGGGAAUUUAGUAUUUUAGUAUUUUUUUGGGAAUUUAGUAUUUUAGUUGUGGCAGCCGCAAUAGGUUGUCGUUGGAAAUCAACUUAUCUUCUAUUGUCGCCAUAAAUAAAUAAAUAUUAAUGUUAUAUAUAGGCUACAAAUUAGAAUAUUAAAACGCAGAUUUGAGGCAAAGAAAAAGGAAAAAAAUAAUAUUGAUUAUGUUUUGUAUAAGAUUUUAAGUGAUUGCACGCCAUGUGUUUGUAGAAAAUGCCUGUUCGAUUUUAAAAAAAAAAACUAAGCGAUUUGUUGCCAAAAAAAAAUACACCCCUCUAAGGAACAAGGGGGAAUCGAACCUCUGACCUUCGUCUAAUGUAUAUGAUACUUUGCCACCUUGCCCGGCAGUGGCAGCCACAAUAAGUCAUGGUUGAAAAUUAACUUACCUUCUAAUGUCGUGUACUUAUGUUUAUUUUAGCUCAUUUUAGCUUUUUCAUACAUUCAAUUUAAUUCUUAUGUUGAUUAUAAAAAUAUUUGUUGUUAAUAUAAUUUAACUAUAUUGUUGAUUAGUGUUUUAAGUGUGUAAUUAAUAAAGUAUAAAAUUGAUAAAAUAAAAGGAAACGUGUCAAGAUUCGUAAGACAACCCAAAAAUAAAAACGUGUCAAGAUUCGUGGGACGGAGGGAGUAUAUGUUAAAUGGUCUUGCAAGCGAAAUCCAAUCGUAUAAAUUUUUUUAUUUUUUCCAAAUUCAAUAAUUAAUUUCAAUACAUUGCAAAAUGCCAUCGUAUUAUUAAAUUGAGGUUUAUUAUAAAAGAAAAAGAAAAAAAUCCCUUGAGAGCACAAAACGCAGACUAAGGGCACGAAACUCGAAAAGAGAUCGUUAAGCUAAGAAUCCUGAAGACACUAGCAAUCCCAUAACUCAGGAUAGUCGUCCAUCUCAUCUGACCAACGUCUAUUUACUAUAUUAUUCAUUGCCCUCAUGCUAUCACUAUUGCUACAAUCAACUACAAAGUCCCUCGGCUUGUAGCUCAUUUCACCCGCAUUCCUGAGACGACCUUUUAUGCUACCUUCCGGAACCGCUUGCAUCGGCUCCUUUCCCAUGCCCUUUCCCGUGCCCUUUGGGCGGCCACGUCCCCGCUUGGUCGUCUUGUCCGAGAGCAUUUGCAUCCCCUGAUUAACCUGCUCUUCUAACUGACUAAUGCGACUAGCAAUAUUGUCCGGGCCAAGAGCGGACAAAUCCUUGUUACCUUCAUGCGAAACACCCCCUCUUUUGUCCAAAGUUGGGUCACGUUCGAGAUCAACAACUGUGUCGUCCAUAAUCGGGCUGUUCAAACCCGCGCCAUUCGGAGCCUCCAUCUCCAAAGUUUCCUCCACAUCCGAGUCCUCCUCGUUAAUGACUAAGUCACUAUCUUUAAUAAUCACAUCUUUAACCCCCUGAACCGGAACCAGGAUUUUAUCCAACAAAUCCGGGCCAGAUAAAUGAACCCCGAAAGACGUUCCAGAAAUAGGAUCAACGCCCAUAUCCAAAACAGUCUCCGCAUUAUUCUCCAAGUCAAGAGCCUGAAAUGCGUUCCGCGUCUCAACAGCCUCUUUCUCAAGAACCUGAACAACAAUCUGUUUUUUACCGCCUGUUCGGUAACCUUUGACCAAGCCGCAGCAGGUUUAUCAGCUAGUUGAGCUUUAGGCUUAACCUUCUUGCUCUUGUUUUCAUAAUCAGUAGCAGACUCGAUCAGAGCUUCUUUACUGUCCUGGAUGUCCUUCCGCUUAAGCUUUGUACACUUUUCCACCUGAUGUCCAGUGAUGCGGCAAUUCGAGCAAAAGAAGGCAAUUGUUCAUAGCUAAACUCGACAUAGAAAGGAUGUUCACAAUCUAUAAGCAUCGAUUCCUGCAAUGGCUGAGCGAGAUCCACUUCAAUUAGCACACGAAUGAAAUGGCCGACCUCUCCAUGAGCUGAUACACCAUCAAUUUUUAUUGGAAAACCAAUAAUUCUAGCAAUUGCUGUUAUUACCUCAGGAUCCCAAAACUCAUUCGGAAGGUAAUAAAUCCGAACCCAAACUUGACAAAUAGAAGAGACUUCCUUGUAGGGAUUGAAACAUGGAACCCAAUCGCGGAGGCGAAUGGAACCCGCAGCCAAAUCCCAAACAAUUUUAGCUUUCGCAAGUUUUUUAUCUUCAAGAUUAGAGAAUUUCAUGGUGAAAAAACCCUUACCCAGAGUGAGAAGCUUCCACUCUGAUUGGAUACCCCACAAAUUGUUGAGUUCAAGCUUCAACUGAUGUGUCGCCUGUGGCUUGCUUCCUUUCCGUAGUAAUACCCUUCCAAUAACAGAGAAUUCGAAUUCAGCAAUACGUUUUUGAUACAUCUGUUUCGGAAUGGUGAGAGAGAACCCAUCGGCGAGUUUCUCAGCCUUAAGAGCUGAGAAUUUAUGUGCUGGUAAAUCUGGAGGUCGAUCAACCCGUUGUUGCAUGAUCGAGGCGUAUGAAACCCUACCCUCUGGUGGCGGCUGCUUUGUGAAGUUAGGCACCGAAGCUGUUCCUUCAGACGGAAUUGUAGAGGUAGUUCCAGAUCCUGAUGGAUUAUCCGAUAAACAAACCUCAACAAGUUUCAAAUUCCCAUGCUCCAAAUCCCUCGACUGUUGAUAAAAGUUGUUUGAGAUUUGUGGCAGGCGAAGGCUAUUAGGUUUCUCAGGAAAUCCACGGGCUCCUGAAGCAGUCGGCGACAGAGAGGAAGCAGUUCUCUUAGCGGCGCCGGAGAGCGGCGUCGGCGAAAGAACCAUGGCUGAUCUCCGACGAAGACGGCCUUCCGGAGGCGGAGCUGAUUUGGAGAUGCUGCUCCGCCGUGGCCCGGUGGUCGUGAGAAUCAGAUCGAAGGCGGACUGGCGCCGGCGUCGAUAGAUGAGCACCGGCCUCACCGGUUCCGGUGUGCGGCGAGCAGCGUCGGGGUGGUGGCGUAGUCAACGUCGGGCUGGUGGCUUCGCCGCGCUGCUGCUGCUGGAGCACCGGUCGCCGCUCUGCAAGUCGCCGCUGCUGCUGGAUCUGCCGGUCGCCGCGCUGCAAGUCGCCGCUGCUGCUGGAUCUGCCGGUCGCCGCUCUGCAAGUCGCUGCUGCUGCUGGAUCGCCGGUCGCCGCGCUGCCGGUCGCCGCUGCUGCUCGUUCUGCCGGUCGCCGCUGCUGCCGAUCUGCAAGUCGCCGCUGCUGCCGAUCUGCAACCCCAAUCGGUGUGCGUGAAGGUGGCGACGGCGCGAGUCAGGGACAUGUGUCAGGGACAUGUGUAGGGCGACCUCGCAAUCAUCACGUGUAUUGUCAACAAAAUGCCAUCGUAUAAUGCAUUCUUUCUCAUCCAAAAAUAUGUUAAAUAUUGUCGCGGCCGAAAUCCAAUUGUAUGAAUCAUUUCACUUUAUUUCAUUUAUUUAUAUAUUAUAUUCACAAAUUUAACUUAAAUUAAUUAAUAACUCAUAAUUUUAUAACAAAUAGUUAUAUCGACUUCGUUAAACUAUAGUAUAGCAGUUCAUUGUCUUAUUGGCAUAUCACGUUUAAUUGUUUUCAAUAAAGCAUUGUAUUUCCCUCAAGUAUAUGUUAAAUAGUUUUAUAUGUUAAUUUUAUUUCCAAAUUCACUAAUUAAUUUCAAAUAAUUUAUUAACUUUAUUUCAUUGAAUAUAAUUUUUUCGACUUCACAAAGUAUAUGGUACAUAGUUUUCCAAACAAAAUCCAUUCGUUUGAUGCAUUUAUUUUAAUUUUCUUAUCGUCACUCACACAGUAGUAGUUCAUUUUCUUAUUAUUACAUCACCUUUAAUAAAGUAUAUGUUAUUUAUUUUUUCGAUCUAUUUCCCAUCAUAUGAUUCAUUUUAUUUUUAAAAAUGUAACUAAUUUAGUUUAAUCAAUUAGUUCAACUUUAUUUCAUCGAGUAUAAUUAUUUCGACAUCAUUAUUUAAACUAUUAUGAUACAUUUUCUUCAAGUAUAUGUUAUAUAUAGUUUCCCGAGCGAUGUCUCACCGUAUGAUUCAUUUUGUUUAAGUAAGAUUUUUAAUUACACAACAUAAUUCCAUUGAGUAAAAUAUUUAUUCAUUUAUAAUAUAUUUUAUGCAAUUUUUUGUUUUUUAGGCUAAAACAUAUUCAAUUGUUUUGACAAAAUAUACAUUACUUAAAAUAUAAUAUAUUAUAGGCAAUUUUAUUUUUGGCACAACUUCAAUUGUUUAUACAAUAUAAAUAUUCCUUCAUUUAUAUAAUAUUUAAUUUUAUAAUUUUCAUCAUUUAUAUUGCCCACAUACAUAUUCCUUCAUUUAUAAUAUAUUUAAUAUUAUNAAAUAGUAAUAACUAGGAAAAAAGAAAAUACAUUAUAACAAGAAAAAGGAAAAAAAAUAAGCGAAUAAGAAAACAAAAAAAUAAGCUAAUAGCAAAAGGAAGAAUAGAAAAAUAAGAAAAAAAAAAAAGAAAAAAGAAAAAAAAAAAAAAAAGGUAAAACAAAACGCAAGAAAAUGAAACACUACGAAAUGCUAUAGGGAAGAUUUGAACUCUGGUAGAUAAGAAAGGGAAAACUUUCCCCAACACUACACCACAUUUAAUUUUGUAAUUAAGAAGGAAACAGUUUUUAUAUAUUAUAUGCGAGCCCAGACCCGCCCAUCCCACACCUUAACCCGCCAGACCCGCGCCCAAACCCACCCAACCCGCGCCCCGACCCGUCUCAUGGGGUGAGGUUGACCUCACCCAAGACCAACUCAACUUAAAUUCACAACCAAUACGGUCAAAAUUCGUAUUAAAUUUUGUAUACAAUAAUAUAAUAUAUUUAUAAUUCUAGUAGUUGUUUAUUACGCUUGGAUUUCCAUCUUGACUUCUGGUGUGAAUUUUGAAAACAUGUAACCAUUUCAAUUUUAAAAGUUUUGAAGUAAAAAAAUAAAUAAAAUUAUUCUAAAUUUCAAUUUUGCAGUCCCGAAAACAAAUCACAUAUUAUAAUUUGACAAAGGCAUUUUAAGAAUAAUAAUAUAUUUCAUAUUUUCAUUAAAAAAUACCAUAUUUUUAAUGAAUGACCAUAUUUUAUGUAGGAGUAUAUUUUUUUAAAUCUAAAUAACAUGUUUAUAUGAAAUGAGUCAAUGACCAAUAGAGAAUUUACUAUUCCCUUCGUCCAUGAAAAAGAGUCCCACUUGGAGUUUGGCUCGGGUUUUAAAAAAGUUAUUAAAGUAGAUGUAAGUGAGAUAAAUGUAUAAUUUGUUGAGGUAUUAUUAGCACAAAAAAAUAGAAUAAAAGUACACUUUUAAUUAAAAAGUGGAAUAAAAGUACAAUUUAUAGUUAAAUGUAAGAUAAAAGGUAUGAUGUGAUGGUUCAAAAAAUUAAAUGAAACUCUUUUUCAUAAACAAAAAAAUAGGAUUAGUAUGACUCUUUUUCAUGGACGGAGGAGUAAUAAAAACCCUGGCAUUGUAAAAAGCGAGGAAAAAUACUUGUCUGCUUUAUUUGAAUUCAUUACCAAAAAGGGAAAUGAUUGACCAAAAAGCGUAAAAGGGGUAAAAAAAACGCGUCACGUUAAAAAGUCGAGAAAUUUUCAUGAUAUUUUUUUUUUUUUUUUUUAUCUUCUUCUUCGAAUCACUGUCACACUAUCAACACUCUGAUAACGAACCACUCUCUCUCUCUCUCUCCCUCACACACAUACACACCUGAAAACCGUCUCCGAUUCUUCAAUCACUUCGAAAUUGAGUGAACUGGAGCUCAAAAGAUCCCCGAGAUUGGGAUCAAAUGGGUCGCAACUCAAUAACCCCCGGAGAUUCAGCUUCCGACGACGCAUCGGCGGCCACAUUCCACUCGAUCCGCGACCGUUUCGCCUUCAAGCGGUACCACAACGCUAGCAGCGCGGCCGAACUUCCGCGCUCCUCCAAAACGGCGACGUCAGCGCACAAAACCUCCCGAUCUCACCACCACAAGCAGCGGAAGCUAUCGUUCUACCCAUUCAAAGGCAAAUCGAGGCUCUACGUGUGCAUUUUCACGGUGCUUUUCGUGUUUUUUGUGGCCUCGAUGGUUUUGCAGAGUCGAUCAUGCUGGCUUUUCGGCAGGGAGUUGGUGGCGAAAGAAUGCGGUGGAGGUGGUCGGUGAAGGAGGGGUUGGAGCUGGGGAGCUCGCUGGAGUUUGUGCCUCGGCGGAGGCUAGAGCUGAACGGAAGCCGGCUCGAUUUGCUCAGAAGCCAGCCGAGGAUUGGUAUUCGGCCUCCUAGGAUCGCUUUGGUAAGUGAUUGAUUGAUAUACAUGUUUCUUUAAGAUGUAAUUAGGAAAUUCAAAUUCCUAUGAUUGAACUUGAAUUUAAGGUUAAUUAUGAGCUUAUAUUGUUAUACAUGCUGAAUUGGUGGUUUGCAUGAUCAGAGAUUUGAUAGUUGUUGAAAUUAUAUGCAUAAUGAUCUGGAAUGUAAAAGCGUAAGUGCCAAAACCAAAUGUCUAUGUUUGACGGAAGAGUAGUUCAAAUCCUGUUUUCAAAUGCGUGUCUUCCUUAUUAUAGGUGUGAAAAAAUGAGAUAGAGCUUUGGUGAGUGAUAAUCACUUCAUAAUUCCAGCUUCGGCUUGAAUAGGAUAUCAAGAGGAUAGGUAAGAUGCAAGAGUCACAGAACAGUCGCGUGGCAUGGCCUUAAUUCUGCUGAUUUCUAGGUGAAUAUGCAUUUUGUAGCGGAUCAUUUAUCAAUUAUCUGAAUGCUAAAGGCAAUCUAUGUCAGAUAGGUUUAAUAUUGUUCGUUUGCAACCUUCAUACCUUACUCACACACACACGCAUGCUUCUUUUCUACCUAAUGAAGUGCAAUGAGACUGAGUCACUCUUGUCAUAUUUUAGGCAGUCAUCUAUUUGUCUUUCUCUUAACUUAUGAAAGUGUUGUGGAAAAACCCAAUGCCUUUUAACACUUUCCAAACCUAAAAAUUAAUAAACUUCUGAUAAUAGCUGCAAGAAGGUGGUGUUUGCAUGUGUUAAAUAUGUGGGUGAUUGAACAAGCAUUGUAACAUUAGGAUCUCUCGAUUAUGGUGUUGCUUUGCCAUGUUUUCCGCGAUGAGCUAUGGAAAAUUCAAGUACAAGUUUUGUACUUCGUUAUGCUCUAAUUUAUCUUACCUACCCACCUUGCGCACCUUUUUUCCCUGCAAGGUAGGGAUUAGAUGUUUGUCCAAAUCUUUGAUUUCCUUUUGUUGACUUCUAAGAUGCAUUCUGCAAAAGGCAACAACUUCUAGUAUUGCCAUAUGCAUUCCAAUUGAAAUGCUGUAAUAUAUUUAUUCAUUCUUUUUUAUCAAUGCAAGAUCUUAGGGAACAUGAAGAAAGAUCCUUCAGCACUAUUGCUGUAUUCUUUGAUGAAGAACUUAAAAGGUCUCGGCUAUCUGCUUAAGGUAUUUUUUUCAUAACAGUUUGCAUUUGAUGCUACUUAACUGUUUUGUAUUCAUAAUGACAAUUGUAAAACCCAUACAAGCUAAGUGCCCAAUUUUUUCCUAACCUUCUCCGCUCUUCACUUUCAUCUCUAAAACUAAAGGAUAAUCUCUGUAAUUGAAAAUUUUCUGUAUAAAAUAGUGUGCAUUCAUCAUGCUCUGGAUAUAAUAUAGUAAUUCAGAAAGUGUAAAGAUCAUUGGAAAAAAAGAGUUCAUGCCCAGAAGCUCCAGACCUUGAUAGAGUAGGUGUAACCAAAGAAUUAGUAUAAGCAGCAGCCUCCCUGGAAUUCGAGUUGGGAAUAUUACUUGCAUGUUGUAUACCUUCUUGAGUGAAAGUGUGCCAUAACUCUUAGUACUAUUACUCUGAGAUAAUGGCAUAACUACUUAGUAAAUAAAUUUCUAUGAGCUUUGAGUAUAUGUCCUCAUCAACUUCUUAAGCUCUAGUAAUUAAUAUCUUAGUUUGGAUAUACGCUUCCGCGCAUGUGAAAUGAAACCACACAUUCUUGCUGUAAUAGAAGUGAAAACUAUCUAAACUCUUCAUAUAUAUAUAAGCUAAGAGUCUGCCUUUGUACGUAUGAAUCUGUAGGAGAAAGUUCUGGAACAAAUAUUAGCUUGCAGUUGAAACUUGUGAUAAUAUCAGUUACUAAAAUACGUCUAUAUCUUCCUAUUAUGCACAUUUAAAAGUUUACCUAUACCCCAUAUACUUUCUGUAGUUAUUUGCCCUCAAAGAUGGCAGAGCUCGUUCUGUCUGGCAAGAGCUUGGAGGUCCAGUUUCAAUUUUAUGGCCUGAAAGAUAUGGUUACAUUGAUUGGUCAAUGUAUGUUUUCUCUUCCAUUUCUUCAUUUUACCCUAGAAGUUCUGUAUGUUAGUUGCAUAUAUUGUUGAUUAGUUUUCUCUAGGCACUAUAGCUGAGCGAUGCCUUUUUCUGCCUACAGUUAUGAAGGUAUUGUUGCGGAUUCCCUUGAGGCAAAACAUGCCAUUUCCAGGUAUUAUUUCUUGAAAGAAUUUUCUGUGUUUCAGAUACAUCCUUUAACUUUCAUCGCUGGAUCUAUAUCACAAAUGAGGCGAACACAAAAGUAAAAUACUAUGAUAAAUGAGGCCUAGUGAAUAUUGUCCUUUAGACCCACUUCUCCCCAGCCCAAAUUUAGUUAGCCAUUUGAGGUCAGUUAGUUUUGCUGUUUUCUGUCAGUAAGAUUUCCUCCCAUAGAUCUGAUUGGUGCACUGAUGGCAAGCACACAUACUGAUAGAUAUUGUUCCUAACAAAGAGAGAAUCUCAUACAAAUAUGACCAGUUGUGAGUGAUCAAAAUUGUUGUCUAGGAAAUUAUGUGCAAGCAUCAUCAAUUUGAGCAAAGGUUUUUGGGUACAAGUUUAGCUACAGAUUCAGAUGCUAAAUAAGUAUGUUCCAACAGGCUUUCAACCAGGUAGCUAUUGGAUCACUAUAGUGUAGGGAAAUCUACAAUACUGACUACAUCCUCAUGGUCCAUAUUAUCCCUAUGAGUGGUUCCAUGCUUGCUGUCUAUGAGAGGGUGACUGCAGCAAAACUGCUAGAAGUGACUCCAAAGCUCCAAUGCCUGCCUGACAUAAGGCGAUAGUUUCUCUUUGGCUUCUCCUGUCUUUAAAGCUUUAGUAUGCCAUACACCACCAUGCUUAACAUGCCAACCUUGAUAUUUUUCCUUAGACUGCAUCACCAGUAGAUCUCUGAAUCAAUGUACCACGAAAUUUACUUUCCUUCAGUACAGAAAAAAUUAUUUCUAAGAGAAGACUUGAGAGUUUUCUUGAGAAAAGCUACAGGAGAUUGUUCAGUUCUGAAAGGACCAUCUUGAACCAGAGCUUCAGUGAACAUAACAAUAGUUUAGGACUCCUCCACGUUUCCUAUUCCUAUAGCAAACAUGUAUGUGAUGGAUACUCCCAUGCAGUGUACACUGCGUAGUGCUAUUUGGUAUUCUAUGAUUUGUCAAUUUGAUAUCUAUGCAGCCUUAUGCAGGAGCCUUUUUGCUCUGUGCCUCUGAUAUGGAUUAUCCAAGAGGAUACUCUCGCCAGUCGUCUACAACUUUACGAGGACAAGGAUUGGGGCCAUCUCAUUUCUAAUUGGAAAAUUGCUUUCAGUAGGGCUGAUCUUGUGGUGUUUCCAGAAUUUUCUUUCCCGGUAAAAUUCUUUCUGGAUUUUUUCUUCUUAAGAUGUGACUUAUAUAAGGAUUGUCUUAGUUCUGAGUAUUUAUUAUUCCUCUUCCUGUAUCAGAUGUUAUAUAGUGUUCUUGACACUGGAAACUUCUUUGUAAUUCCUGGAUCUCCAAUAGAUGUUUGGGCUGCAGAAAGCUAUAGUGAGACUCAUUCCAAAUCUCAGCUACGGAAGGAAAAUGGUUUUCACGAUGAUGACCUGCUGGUUCUAGUUCUUGGGAGUUCAUUCUUCUACUAUGACCUAGCCUGGGAUUAUGCAGUGGCAAUGCAUGAUCUAGAACCUGUGCUCCUCAAAUAUGCAGGACAAAAUGAUGUUGGAUUUACAUCAAAGUUCAUUUUCCUUUGUGGAAACUCCAGCAAAGUAUACAGUGAUGCCUUGCAGGUAUAUGUUUGCAAUUGGCUGUUCUAAAUGUAAGAUUUUUACUGCAUCUGUCCAUGUGGGUUUCAGAAAAUGAGAUGCCAAUAAGGUUUAACAUUGCCACAUUUGAUUUCUAUUGGGAAAUGAUGACAGGUACUCCCUCCAGCAAUAAUUUGUCGGUACACAACAGCUGAUUCUUUUGAUAGUUCUAAUAUAAUUAGUCCAAAUUUGUUCCGUAUCAUCUCACAUUUGAUUUAUUUUGUUAUGAUUUAUGUAUGUACAUGUUUGAUUCUGGCUCAUUUUUUCAAACCACAAUGUUGGAAAUAGAAUUGGAUGUGCUCUGUUUGUACCUUCUACUUGAAGAAACUGGCAGUUUUCAGUUCUGCCUUUAAUAUUAUUUUUACUACUAACACUGUUACACCUAUGUAGGAUAUUGCAACUCGUCUGGGAUUAAAGCAAGGAUCAUUGAUGCAUUUCGGCAUAAAUAGUGAUGUGGACAGUCUAAUACUGAUCGCUGAUAUUGUUCUGUAUGGAUCCUCCCAAGAAGAUCAGGGAUUUCCUCCUUUGCUGACUAGAGCCAUGUCAUAUGGGAUUCCUAUAAUUGCUCCAGAUUAUCCUGUCAUAAGAAAAUAUGUACGUCACAUUUGUUUCUCUUUUGAAGUGAUCUUGUAGCUAUCCUCUGAAGCUUAUAUUUUCCAUGGAUUGAUAUUUUGAAUGUAGGUUGUUGAUGGAGUUCAUGGAAUAAUUUUUCCAAAAAAACAUGCUGAAGCAUUAACAAAUGCCUUCUCCCUCCUGAUAUCUGAAAGAAAAUUAUCUAGAUUUGCACAUUCUGUUGCCUCCUCCGGAAGGCUUCGUGCCAAGAACAUGUUUGCAGAAGAAUGCAUCUUUGUUCUUGCAAAGUUAGUGGAAGAUAUCUUUGAUUUCCCAUCAGAUGUCUUGCUGCCAACCCCUGCUUCCCAACUGAAAAAUAUUGUAUGGGAAUGGAAUCUCUUUAGAAAAGAGCUCGACCAGAUAUCUAGUGAGAGAGGACAUCUGUAUAUAGAAGAUCAUUUGAGUGUGAAUUCGAGUGUUGUAUAUGACCUUGAGGAAGACAUGAUAAGUUACGUUGCAUUGGGAAAUGUCAGUGGGUACAAUCCUGAAGGUCUGGAAGAGGACAUGCCAACAGUUUUGGACUGGGAGAUCUUGAACGAAUUAGAGAGCUCUGACGAAGUUGAGAUGCUGGAAAGAGAGGAGGUACAACCAUUCUUUUGUCACUUUUGAAGUCUUUUUCAUCAUUUAACUGCAACCCCCCAUUUAUCUCUUUUAGCUGAUGGCAUCCUCUUAUGCUGUGCAGGUUGACGAAAGAUUGGAGAAAGAUAUUGGUGAAUGGGAUGAGAUUUAUCGUAAUGCUCGAAAAUCAGAAAAGCUCAGAUUUGAAACAAACCUGAGAGAUGAAGGCGAACUAGAAAGAACUGGGCAACCAAUUUGCAUUUAUGAGAUCUACAAUGGUGCAGGGGGUUGGCCAUUUCUGCACCAUGGUUCGCUAUACCGUGGGUUAAGCCUUGUAAGUUCCUCACAACUGGGUUGGUGCAUUGUACUUGGAUUACUAUUUUAUGGCCUUAUUAUGUAAAUCUGAUGGACCAAGUAUCCCCUAUUUUCUGAUUUCAUUUUAAUGAUUUCUUCCAUACUAAUCUAAGACCCGAUACAAUUUUGUUUAAGUAUUUAGGUGAGGCCAUUCAUUUGAUUAUAUUUCUCCUUUCUGUGCAUUAACUUGCUACUUCAAUAGUACUUUCUUCUUUUUGGCUUGCUGUAUCAGUCUACUAGAGCCCGGAGAUUGAGUUCAGAUGAUGUGGAUGCAGUUGGUCGGCUUCCCAUCUUAAAUGACACUUCUUAUCGUGAUAUUCUUUGUGAGAUUGGAGGAAUGUUUGCUAUAGCUAAUGGAAUUGACGACAUUCACAAGGGACCUUGGAUAGGAUUUCAGUCAUGGCGUGCUGCUGGGAAGAGGGUAUGCAUAUUUACUGUCAUGUGCAUCCAUCCUUACACGUAGACCAGUUCUUUUAAAUCCAAAUUACAUAAGAAAUUGAGUCCUGUCUCUACUACUCCCUUGAAUUAACGAUUUUUAGAACAUAUUACUCAUGAAUGUCAACGCUGCCUGCAUUUGACUAAUCUUGCUUGAUCAUCUCAGGUAUCUUUAUCUAAAAAAGCCGAAGAUGUUUUGGAGAAAACAAUACAAGGAAACACUGAAGGGGAUGUGAUAUACUUUUGGACUCAUCUCGAUAUGAAUGCCGGUGUUGUAGGACAGAAUGAUCUGCUUACGUUUUGGUCAACAUGUGAUAUUAUGAAUGCAGGAAGGUGCAGGUGAGUGUUACCAAAUAGCAUUUCAUUUAUUUACCUAUUCAAUUCUAUACUUAUCUUGUUUUCCUUUGAAAAGAUCGUCUUAGGCCCUUUAACAAUCAUUUCGAAACACCUCUAGUUAGCUGACUCAUAUUCUUUUGAUGAUUUCAAACUCACAGAACAGCUUUCGAGGAUGCAUUUCGAAGAAUGUAUGGGUUGCCAUCAAAUGUAGAAGCUCUUCCUCCCAUGCCUCAAGGUGGUGGGCAUUGGUUGGCCCUACAUAGCUGGGCGAUGCCUACGUCUUCUUUUCUGGAGUUUGUAAUGUUCUCCAGGUACUUCUUUAUGCACCAUUAUCAUUUCAUAACAUACAUUAAGCCGGCUUACUCUAUCGCUGCAUUACAUCGAGGCAGUCAAACGGAUAAUAGUUAGACUCUAACUGCGACGUUGAUCCCAGGAUGUUUGUUGAUUCUCUUCAUAGUCUACGCAUGAAUUCAACAAACACAUCCGCUUGUUUUCUGGGCUAUUCAGAACCGGAGGUAUGAUUCAAAAAUGCUAUAACUACCACACACACACACACACACAGUUUCUCAUGCUGAGUUCCACUUCGUGCAGAAGAAGCACUGUUACUGUCGAAUUUCGGAACUCCUAGUAAAUGUGUGGGCUUAUCAUAGCGCACGAAAGAUGGUUUACAUUGAUCCCAAUUCAGGCUCGCUGCAAGAACAACACCCUAUCGAUCAGCGGAAAGGCUUUAUGUGGGCAAAAUAUUUCAACAUCACCUUAUUGAAAAGUAUGGAUGAAGACCUUGCAGAGGCUGCAGACGACGACGACCACCCUUACAGACCGUGGUUGUGGCCGUUAACCGGAGAAGUUUUCUGGCAAGGCGUGUACGAGAGGGAGAGAGAGGAGCGAUACAGGCUGAAGAUGGACAAGAAGAGGAAGACGAAGGAGAAAUUGCUAGACCGGUUAAAGCACGGAUACAAGCAGAAGACACUAGGAGGAUAGACAGGCCGAUGAUCUCGUUGAUGAAACUAUCUGACUUGCACAUUGCAGCUGAACCAGUUGUCCAUUCUCAGAUCAGGAUCCGAGACGAGGCGUGCUCGUCGCGGCCUCGAUUUUCUCACAGCAUCGGGGAUACUCCCCCGCUGACACGAUCAUCUAACAUUACACGAACAUAGGCUGCCGGAGACGGCGCAGCGUGACCAAGGCCACAAGCCAGUCUCUCUCCCUCUCUCUCUACACAUGCUUGAAGCUUUUGUAAGUUGGCUCCAAGUAUCUAUUUGAGGUGUACCAAUUUUGAAUGCGGUUGUUUUAGUUAUACCAUAAACAUAGUAUAAGACUUGUAAGGUUUCUGUUUUUCUUUCUUAAAUUGUAUAUACCAUUCAUAAUUCAUAAUAAUAACAUAAUUCUAAAGAAAAACUAACCCUUUGAAGGAAACUUCUUCAUUUAUGUUUGUGGUUGUAAUAUUUUAAUUUUUGUUUUGCUAAAAUUGAACCUGAUUUGGAGGAUAAUUGCAUGACUUGAAAAAUGUAAAACGGGGUUGCUAUUGCAUAAAUAAACAAAACUAAGUUGUUGUUUGUAAAGUGAAAUCAAUUUACAAUUACAAACAAUGUAACGUGUGUGUAUUAAUAACAAAAUUCAAAAGUCGUGUGCUAAAUCAAAACUUAAAGUUUGUGUAUUUAAAUAUUUGGACUAUUAAUAAACUAGGAGUAAUAAAUUUGUUCCAGGGUUCAUAUUUUGUAAAUUGGAUUUAAUUUCUAAAAUGUUUUAAUUGUAUAAUCAUAUUUUGAUUGAUAACAAAUUUAAAAUUAUUAAUUUUUUCGGCAAAAAUUCAUUCUUGGAAUGAUAGUAUUAUUUUACCAAUGAAAUAACAUCAUUUUAACACUAACAAAAAUAGAGAAGUUGAAUUUAUUCCAAAAGUAAGAUGGAUUUACUGAAGCGCAUUAAUUUGCUACGAAUUAGAUAACGAUAUUAUUAAAACAUACUCUCUUCGUCCCAUGAAGUAUGACACAGUUAUUUUCGGCACGAGAAUUAAGAAAUUGAUAUUUUGUGUGUUAAGUGUGGUAGGUAAAAAAGUGAAAACGUGAAUAAAAAAUAAUUUUUUUGCUAUUUUUAGAAACGUGUCAUGCUUCGUGGGACAACUAAAAAGAAAACUGUUCAUGUUUCAUGGGACGGAGAGAGUAUAAAAUGAAAUUAAAAAAAAUGUCGAUUUUUUUUUUUUGAGCAGAAAAAAAUGGCGAUUUAAUUGAGGGGUUUUUGAAUGGUUUUUAGUUGACAUAUUUGCAAACACCUAAUAGCAGCUAACGACAACUUCACUGGAGCCGCCAUUGAACUGAGCUUCUUCAAUUCAGAGCUACCUCUCUCGAUCAAAUUGUGAAAAAAGCACCUAGAAUCCCAUUACACAACAGAAUGAGCGAUUGAUGAGUGUGCCGAUGAUUGUCUGUAAUAGCAGAAGAAGAGGUAUUUGCAAGAAGUUGGGGAAAUCGAAUUUGGGUUUGCAGGCUUGAAAAAUCUGUCGCCGUCGCCAUGUCUGUAAGUUUGAUGCUCAGCAGAACUUCUGUAAGGUUGCAUUUGUCCGUUUUCUAAAAAANAAAAAAAAUCCUAAUUUUGAGUUUCAGAGUUGAUUAUCAAUGGCGAACGCUAAACCAUGGCGGAUCAUCCCAAGACCCCUGCUGGAAACAGUGCUCAACAAUCACGUGCAGCACCACCGCGUGCCUCAGCCUCUCAUCCUUCAUGGCCCCCGUGGCUAUGGAAAAACCACCCUUAUUCUUGAACGUAAGCAAAUAUGACUCCCCCUUUUUGUAUGUGUGUGUGUGUCAUUGUGGUGUGCUGAGCCUAAUUAUGUGGAAUUUGUGGAAGAGAAGGUGGAAAGAUGAGAUACUGGAAUUGAUUCAUAAUAGCUUUACUUUUUAACUUAUUUAGAGAAUGUUUUCUAUGUUUUCGGAUGCAUUUGUUACAUGAUUAGAUUAUUUUCAUCUUCACCAUAAGGAGUUUUCCGAUCCUAGUCUUAGAAAUAGUUAAUGGCUUUAUGAUAUCCCAAGUUACUAAUCCAUCUUAGUAAACAAUGGAUUAGUCUAUACCAUUUCUGUCUAUCUUGGCUUGUCCUCAAAUGCAAAUGCCUCCUUGGGGUUUUAGAGUAAUGUGAUGUGUGCCUUGCAGUCUUUAGCGAUUAUCAAGUAAUAGUUUUAGCAUAACUCUUGCAAUGGGGUUUCAGUUAUCAUGUAUUGUUUGGUUAUGUAUGAGUAAAUGUUCUGAAUAUGUGUUUUGUGGUUCCCGACUAGUGUUGUUCCGUGUCCUUGGAGUAUUUAGUGCAGAUUUCAUGUCUUCAUGUCAUGUUUGGUGCAGCAAACCAAUUAUGUCUGAACUAUGACCUACCAUUCUGGUGGACUUGAUCUAAAGAGCCUUCCCAAUUUUCUUAUUGGCAGGUCUAUUUGAUAAAUGGAAUACUGGCCCGCACGUUACUGGUUAUGUCGACUUUGCAGAAUCAGUAAAGGAAUACCAUCCAAAGCAUGGGCAAUCAUAUCCAUGGACAUCGUGGACGAUGUGUCCGCCUCCUAAACUUGUUACGCUGAAGGCUCAGCUUGAGAACUGCCUUGAGUCAAUGGCCCAGAGGGCCAUAAAGCUUGGGACUAUUAAUUCCCACCAAAUAUUUAAGACUCUUACCAAAUGGCACAGUCCAACCACGGCCCUCAACCAGAUUUUGAAUGUUAAGACUGUUUCCAAAAUGCAUAUAGUUGAUAAAAAGAACAGGGUAUCCCCAUCAAAAUUGUGGAACACUGCAAUUUUUAAAUUUUCUUCUGCAUUAAAUGAGCAAGAGUUAGAUGGGGUUCUCGAUAAGAGCAUUUCUGUGGAGGAGUCAUCAUAUUACAAGGAAGCCAUGGCAGCACUGAAGUUGGCCAAAGAGGUGAUUAGGAUUCAAGGAAAGUGGAGGGAGAAUGCAAUUCAAGAUUUGAACAAUAGUGGUGGAUUUUCGCGUUCCCUAGGACAUUCUGCUACUGAUUGGCCUUGUUUGUUGCUAGAGUUAUUGUCUUUAGCUGCAGAAGUUGAUUAUUUUCAGGUAUUCAAGUUUUAUUCAAGUUUAAACUGAAAAGUUGAAGAAGGAGAGCACCUGUCAAUUUUCUAUCAGUUCUGACAAUCAAAACACGUAUGUUACAAUAUAGUGCACAGUUGGGUGUCUUUUUAGCUUUCUAAUAAUAGAAUUAAUACGAUCACUCUUUGUAGAUAUGAGUCUUGCUGCUUUCUUCAAAAGCACACCAUUAGUGUAAAUUGUGCAAACAGGAUCUGGCACCUUAUUGGUAAUAAACUAUGAAUGCAAUGUAUAAUUGGGGGAUUAUGAGAGACAAUUUAUUGUUGAUAGUUCCACCCAUGCCUCAUUUUUAACUUCUUUCUCUAUUUCUUCCUUUUUCCUGGGUACUGAUGAAAUAAGUAGCCAAAGCUGGUGAUAAACAAUAUAGAGCUUCUGAAAAAUGCUGCUUUAGAGAAUGAUAGAAUGAUAUGUGGAUCCACAUACCAUGACAGCCUGAUUUGGAGAAUAAUAGCUUUGGGUGCAAAUGAAAGGUGUCUUCCAGUAAUUUUUGUAACUUCUGAUGGGUAAGUUUUCGUAUUUAUUUAUUUCUGGUUUAUUGAAGCAUAAGAUCAGUUUGGUUGAAAGCAUAAAACAAAUUGACAUAGCUGCUAACAAAGUCAUCCAUUCAUUCUUGCUCUGAUUUUCAAGUGAUCAGAAGAUUCUGUAGGAUUAUUCUUUGACCCUCUUAAGCCUCCUGUGCUAACUCCAAAAAUCUUACCCAUAGUCUCUUUCAAUCCUGGGAUUUUCUAGUAGAGAAGUUUCCUCUCUUCCUGAUUACCCAAUUAUUUUUUGCUGCCUUUUUUGUCCUGUUUCAUCAGAUUAGCUAUCUUCUGGAAGGACUGACUGUUAAGUUUGGGCUCAUCUUUUACGGGAUCUUCUGAUCUCAUUCUUGCUCUGUUCCUUUAAUGGCUCAGAUUCUUUUUCACUCUACCACUGAAUCUGAUUUCAGGUUGAACUUAUUUGCCUGUUAUUCAGGGCAUAUAUGACCUUCUCAACGUAUGACUGUUUUAGACUAUGUUAUCAGCUAUUUAUGGCUCAUUUCAACUUCUUCAGGUCUUAUCUUCAAGUAGGAUGUUUAACCACUUAUAGCAACACUUUAAUGUGGUUAGUCUUAUUGACUACCUUACAUCUAGAUCAUUGCCCAAAAAACGAGCUAAUAAUAAAAUAGUUUGAUAUGUCUAAAACCAAUUGACCAAACAUUUCAGAAUAAUAAAAGCUAUAUUAAAGCUUUGUCUUGACCAAAAUAUUUAGCUUUAUGAGUUUGUGUUAUAACUUCAUAAUUGGUCUUCCAACUGAUUGUUGUUAUUAUUUAAUGCACCUGUUCUUCUCGUUGCUUAUCAUAGCUCAAAAAUAAUAUGCAGCUACUACUCAUAUAAAGCUUUUAUUGAUUUUGGAUUUCCAGAUGUUUUCAUCUCCCGUGAGGUAACCACCCUCUCUCUAUAUAUAUAUAUAAAUAUACGCAUAUGCUAUUAGUUAAGCUUUGAUUAUUUUGAUGCAAAUGUUAAUUUCAGACAUUUGGAUGGACUCCGGCAGAAGCAAAAUUGCAUAUGGUUGAUGAUUAUUUUAGUCAGUCUGAGGUAUUGUCAAUUGAAUUAAUAUUAGUCAUUUGUAUGUUUUGCGAUCAUAUGAUUAGUUUCUUGAAAGAAUUUCAUGUUUUCUUAUAAAUUAUAUGAAACUGGAAUGCUAAAAAAGUAUAUUAGAUUCUUAUCAGCAAUAAUUUUUAAUAUUGAACCCUGUUUGUUCCUGUUGUGUGGUCUGCCAUUACUCAAUUGGAUUUUGAAUUAUUGUUGUUUCUCUUGUUGCGAGAAGUAAGAAUAUAAAUCAAGAAGCAUCAGUAAUUGCAGGUCGAUGCUCUUUGGUCACCGUUACUUAAACCAUAAAGAUGGCAUGGGGCUAUGCAUCUAAUCUUGUUUCGGGUAUAACCUAGGGUUAUUUGAAUCUGAUUGUUAAAAAUUUACCAUUUCUUUCCAUGAUUUAUCUUGAGAGGUAAGAGAAGAUUUGGUCAAUAUGAAGAAACAAUUCUAACUGUAAUUAUGUUUCAUAAAUCCUAGCACCCUCAAAUGAAACCUUGUUUAGAACCAUCAUAGUCUUAAACUUAUCCAAAUUUGCAUUUGUGCUUAUGCUUCUAGAUAUACUUGAAAAUGUAGAGGUAUGAGAUACUCAAAUUUAUUUCUCAAAUGUUUCAUAUACUCACGUUGCUAAUCCAAUGUGCAGUGGGAAGUAAUUGUUGAGGUACUGGGGUCAAAUUCCCGACAUCUAUUUGAGGUUUAUGCUCUCAAGCUCAGUAAUUAUUACCAGAAGUAAGUUUUAUUAAUAGGCUAAAUUUCAAUAUAUAUACUGGUCAAUAUUGAAUUUAAUAUGCAACCUGUGCAUUUUCCUCUUGGUAAUCAUCUUGUUCUAGUUCUUUAGGUUUAGUUUUGCCUACACUGUUCCUAAAAGGUAUUGCCUUCACCUGUCAAUCUCUUGAUUUUAAAAGUGUCCAUACAAUGAACAUCUUGUCCAAUUUAACUAUUUUCUUCAUACAUGCUGAUGUUUCCAUCUCUAUCUGUCUUUGUCCAUGUCUACCUGUGUGUCUCCUGAUCAUACCUCCUCAUCACAACUAUAUUAUACACACAUUCCUGAAAUGCACUGUUGACUUUCCCAAAUGAGUGCAGUAGACAGCACACACCUUUUUCUAGUAACCAUCAUGACCUAACUGGCUCAGCAUUACCUUUUGUUUCCAACGAUAGCAUACGCUUCCACCAAACCACAAAUAACUUGAAAACUAUGUUAAUCAGUAAUCUCAGUUCUCUAAUCAUGGAAGGUGCGUUUUUGGAACCCCCUGCCUGUUGGUUAAAUUUUUGUCACUCUUCCUUUUCUCUUCAGUUUCCCACUAUUGUCAUUGAUGUUACCUAUCUUUUCUGCUCGUUCCACUUAUGCUGGUGGUACAAUGGUUGAGUUAAAAUGGGUGAGGAUGCUGCAUAAGGAACGGAAAAUAGUGGUUAGGAGAGAGAAGGAUGAUCUUGUUGAAAUGCAUCUUUUGCCAGAUACCAAACAUUUGGCACCCCUGACAGCUAACUUAUAACUUUGAUUUCAGGAUGCUGCAUAAGGAAUGGAAAAUUAGGUUUUAGUAAAAUGUUUCUAGCAGAAAUUAAUUGCAUUGAACUGACUACUAUAACUUACAGCGUGUAUAUUUAUCAAGAGUAUACAUUUUCUGAAUUAUGAAGAAUUAUUUUUUGAUUUGGAAAUUGUCGAGAAUUUUUUUACCUGGCUGAACAUGUAUAUCCUUCCAAUCACAGGGAGAUGAACUUUGAGAAUGAGACUACAUUUGAAGAUAUCAUGGACCUAUAUCUAGCGUACUUGCAAGUAAGGUUAUAAUAAGUUUAAAUUCUGAUCUGCAUUUCCAUUUCUUUUCCAUUUUCUACUUAUUAGGACCAGCCAACUUAGAGAACCACAAGUAGCAAACAACUAUACAUAAAAAGAAGGGAGAGGCUAAUUGGGCGAGAUUCAAUUUGGAGAAAUGGGGAAGUGUUGUUUACAAGAUAAUUGAGGCUGUCAAUUUUUUAUUCCAAGAUAAUAUGUUUGUAUUGCACAAAUAUUAAUUUUACCCUGUAUGUUACUUCAGUUUUACCAUAGUACAUAUUUUUUAUCAGAAAAUGUGGAAAAGCUAUUAUUUUCUCAAGUUCCACAUCCGUUUUCUAUUUAACACUAUUUAUCUGCUAUAGGUAAGCGUUGUUAAUCCUGCUAUGGAUAAAGCAUUAUUGCUCGUGGAAAAGUUUGCUGAUGAUGCACAAAAUGGGAAAAUCCCAGAGGAUGUAUUACGAGUCGGUGCUCCUUGGAGGCAUCCCCCCAAAACAGAUGUUGCAGCAUGGGCGAAAAUUCAGCUAAUGGACUUCAUUCAGUCUCUAGUGAAUGCAGGGUUUGUGGUAAAAUUUAAACUAAUACUGUGGUGCUACUUCUUUUCAAUGAGGAAAUUCUACAUUAUCUGUGAUUUUUUACUUGGCCAAAUUGUUCGUCAUUUUAUUCCUGCAUCUAAAAUGAGGUCUAAUUCUCAUUGACAUUGUUAUAUUAUAUUUCAAAAUACUACUCGAUUCAUGUUUUGUCCAUUUAAGCAAUUCUUAAAUUGCGUGAGAGCAUUUGAAAGUUGUCUCAAUUGGUAUUUGAGUUCUUCUGGAGGUUCUGCUCAUGUAGAACAGUUGGUCAGUUGAAUUUCUGAAAAAAUAAAAAUAGGAUUUUCCUUAAACUCAAUGCAGGUUAAUUACUUUGCUGACUGGAGCCUCGAGUUCUUGGAGGAUCCUGCCGCUGAUGCACUGCUACAGGUAAUAAUGACAUUUGUAAUUUUACUUUGUCACCUUAAUCUUGGAUUCUUAGUUCAUUGUAUCUCAGCAUUCCAGAAAUCCAGGAUGCCUUGUUUAAUAAUAGGCUCUUGUAUACCUUCAUGCACUUCUUUUACACCGAACUACUUCACUGUCAGAUUGGAGAGUUUCCACUUUCUAUAAGCUACAGACUGCUAUUGUCUUGAGUGAAUUUUUUGCAACUUCCUUAUUAUUAGAUUAUCCUUUGCUUAUAGACAAUAAAGGGUAACAGAAGUGGUGCUUUAUAGAAGAUUUGUCAUGAUUAGUCCUUUAGUUGCAAAAGGCAAUUAUCAUACCUAACAUGCAUGCUCCCUAUCCGGCUCAUAUCUGAGGGUGUGGCAUACUUUUAACAAUAUCAUUUUCGUAAUUUUAAUACAUUCUGCAGGUUGGUUUGUUGUACACCCAACGUGAUCCGUCUUUUAUUCGCCCGUCAGCCGUGGGAUCCAGAGGUGCCUUGUUAGAUGGUACGAUAUGCUGAUGCAUGGGUUUGAUUUAGCAGUUGAAGUGAGUACCUUUGUGGCAUGUCCUGACAUAUAUAAGUGCUUCAGGCUUGUUCAAGAACGGCUAAAUCUGAGCUUAAAGAACUCCGUUCGGUUCCACUGGCAGCGUGUCAUACGAGGCCGUAGCUAUCGGCACUUGUUGAAACAAGCUGGAGUGAAAUAGUGUAUGGUGGUACGUUCGAAUUCUCUUGAUUCAGCUUUGCUUUUCAUCUGGAGUUUGACUGUUGUAAUACUUUAAUAUGAAGAUAUAUGCUCUUGCAACAAUGCAAUGCAAAUGAAGGUUAUAUAAAUAUGAAUAUGCACUUUGAAGAAAUGCUCAGCUCUGCAGCUGUCAAAGUAGAUAUGAAGACUCUAACUGAAGUCUAUCCUAUUGAAAUUCAAUACAUAGUUUUACUGCAUUACUAAAUAUGAUACUCCGGUGCAUUCCUAGAAGCCAUACCAGUCUAUGGUCUAAUAAUGCGCUCGUUGUUUACAUCCGGUGUUCAUGAAAUAAGUUCAUUCACAUUGAACUAUUGCGAAUGCAGCAUCAGGUUGUUCUUGUAUGGCCAAGUUAGUGAAAGAUGAACUUUACUAUGCCACUCCAUGAAAUUAAGUGGUUCUGUUUCAGGCAACACAGCAGCAAUAGUUCGUUUAUUGGUUCGGAGCACUCUUCUGUCAUCAAAACUACACAGUAAGUCGAUGUCUACUGAUACCUUGUGCUACAGCUUUUAUCCAAAUCAGAAAUUUCUGUCAUAUUAGCUUUGAUUACGUUGUUACUGUUAUAAAUUUUUAGAGCAUCAUUUGUUCUUUGCCUUCUUCAGCUUCACUAAACGUCACCCUUCUCACCGGCUUAAAAUUGUACACUUCCUUGUAGACCAUCUAUCUGUUUUGCUGUCAUGUUCUGGAAAUCACGUAGAACUCUACCUCGUUAUCGAUUUGCUGCUAUUAGCCAUACAUCGUUCUGUUUCUGUUUCAAAAUCGUGAACAAAAAAAUAAUGUGCAGAAGUUGCAAGAACCAAAAUGGCCACAAAACAUUGAUAGUUAGUCUGUUUUCUGUAAAAUUGGUGUGUUAUUCAGCAUUCUUGAGUUAUAUAAUUAGCUAUGAUGAUGACUUACAAAUUUCCUUCCAUUGCAGUUGCGCGGCGGAAGUGAAGAUCCAAAUUUUGUUAUUGAAAUCAAACUGCAGAUUGAGAGUCAUAGAAAUAUCAAAUUCAUUUAGGAUACAAAUUUAGUUUGCAAUAUCAUGGUGUUUCUGUUAAAUAUCAGUUGAUGAAAUUUGUAUUAUGUGACCACAUUUUAAUUUGAGGAUGUGAAACUUACGUGGUGGUUUAUAUUUGUACUUUAAUUAGAUGAUUGUUUAAAACGAAAUAAAUCAAAUCUUGGUUGGAGUUAAACCAUGAACUUUACAAUUUUACAUAAUUUUUUUGACUUACCAAAUGAACUUUUCUUUUUGCAGUUUGAAUCCAUUUUCAAUUCUGAUUAAAUAUUACAUUAGCUUGUCGCAUUCUCUUAUAUAUAUACACACAUGAUUUUACUUUAUUAUUGUACUCUAAAUUUGACAGUGGAUAUAUUUAUUUUAGUAUAGUAGAUAUUAGAUUAUUGUUCGAAUCCAUCGGUAAUUACAUACCUUCAAAUAGUAUAUAGUACUUAUAGUUUUAGCUAGCAAGCAGUUUGUGUUUUUAAUGUAAUAGUUUUCUAUUGCUGACUUAUUUACUCAUAUAAUCAUAUCAAAAUUAUUUAUUCCAUGCCGUUUAAACCUGUAUAAAUUAGUUCCAUAAUAAAAAUUUAGUGCUUGUGUAUAUACAUUUCAUUAAAUCCUAAUUUGAUGUAUGUAAUCAAGGUCAUUAACUCGUAAAUUAAUACUUCAUUCGCCCACUAAAAACUUACUAAUUUUCUUUUAUGUGACGCACACAAAAUAACUUUCUACAUAUUUUUGGACUAUACCCCAUCAUUUAUAAAUACCUCAUUCACCUCUACUUUUUACAUUUUCACCACUUUCAAUACUAAUUAACAUAUUUUCAUCACUGUCAAUACAUUCAACAACCGAGAGAGUAUAUGUUCAAUGGGUAGCAACUUUAUUUGUCCUCAAACUUUCUAUUUUAUUUUUUUCAUGAAUGCAUAUUAUUUAUAAUUGUUCGAUUUUCAAUACAAUAACUCUUCCUACACAUUUUUUUUUUUACCGCAGAUGACACUUAUUUGAAGAUUACAUUCCUCAAUUUUGGCUUCAUAGUUGAUGCCACCCGAUGGGAUAUCCACCAUGCACCAAUGUACAAUACUAUACAAAAUCACAUAAAAAUACGAGAUAAAACACAACAUUAAACAAAAAAAAUUAUACGAAUUCAUAAAUUCCUAAUUUAUCAGACCAGGAUCCUCAACUUAAGAGUAGUAUCUCAUCUUCUAUUCCGAUCGUUGGACUGUCGUCACGUAUAUUCAAAAAUCUCACGACCAUUCAUCGAAAAUUUAUCAAAGUAUACAUGAAAACAAUCCAACGAUUCGAAUAGAAAAUGAAACUCCAUCUCACCAUCACGAAUAGACCAAGUGUUAUUUCCUAUCAAUCUUAAUUGAAAAGAAACAUCAAAUAUUUGGAGUGGAUGGAAUUUUCUUAGAGAAAAAAUGAUAUAUCUCAAUGGGAUUAAAUAUGUGAUCUUAAUUGAAAAGGACUUAAGCUAAAAGCUAGAACAUCAAAUAUUUGGAGUGGAUGGAAUUUUUUUAGAGAAGAAAUGAUAAAAUCUCAAUGGGAUUAAAUAUGUGUGGGUAAGCAAGCUUGUGAAGGAAUAAAGGUAAUGGUGGUGGUUAAGGUGGUGAAAUCACAUGAUAAUUUGUCUGCUAAAAUCUAAAAAUCACGAGGAACAUGUACCUUGAGCAUGAAUUUCUGUACACAAUCAUUGCACAUUAUUCCAUGUAGCAUAUCACACCUUUUUACCAUAUUCUACCACACUUUUUCCUCAUGCAUCAUCCUCUUCAUACACUAUUCAUUAUAUUUAUCAUCCCAAAUUUUUUUGUGUCACAUUCUUUACGUUUCAAUAAUUUAUUUACAAUUUUAUUCGGUUUAUGUAGAUUCGUACAAUGAAGAUCUAAUAAAUUUUAAGUAAAUUGUGUAUGUAGAAAGUUAGUAUUCUCACCAUCGCCCGGAUAAAUGCCUCUAUCUAUAUUAAAUCAUAUACCGAGAAAAAAGAUAAGUUUAUUCCAUUCGUCCAUAAAAAAUAAUAUAUUUUUGUCAUUUUGAAACGUUCACAAAAAUUAAUCCCGUUUCAUUUUUAGAAAUUUUCUAUUACAUGAUGAGCUCUUUUCUCCAUUAUAUCUCCACUUAUAAUAUAAUUAAUUGUCAUUACUAUUUUUAAGUGGGGUCCCUUCUCCACUCAUAAUACACUCAACUAUUAUUAUUAUUAUUAAGACUCGUGUUGUUCCCUUCUAAGACUGUUUUUAUGAACGGAUGAAGUAUUAUUUUUACCUUCAAUGAUUGCAUGUAAGAUUGAAUAAUUAAACAAUUUGCUUUGAGGACAAGAGUAAAAUUUAUUACUAUUUCUAUUUUAUUCAGAUUAUAUAGGUAGAUUCAUAGAAUUAGAUCUAAUAAUAAGUUAAAAUAAUUGUGUAUAUAAAAAACAAUAUACUCCACCCAUCACCUGAAUACGUGCCUCUUUCCGUAUUAAAUUGUACACCAAGAAAAUAGGUGAAUUUAUUCUUUUUACCUUCGAUAAUUGCAUGGAAAAAUUGAAUAAUUAAAUAAUUUGCAUUGAGCACAAGAAAGAGUAAUAUCAUUAUAUAUGAAAUACAUCCUUCAUAGAGGAUAAGUUUUAUUAUUUGAGGAUGCAAAGAGUAUGAUUUUAACACGAGCUAAUAUUGUUUCUAAUAUCUUAACAUUUCAAAAAAUAACUUGGAUUUUCCUUUUAAUUUCUCUCCAUAUAUACGCUAGUAUGAGAGUUUAUAAUUUGAAAAUAAUACAUAUAUGCACUCCAAUGAAAUCACUUAUUUUUAGUGAGAUCUUAGACACGAUCUCGUGCGUGCCUUGUUCAUCAAUAUAUAUAUAUAUCUUAUUCAUUACCAAUUUUUNAAAUUUCGUUAUUCAUCAAUCUGCAUGUCUUAUUCUGUUGUUCAUCAGUAUAUAUGUCUUAUUUAUUGAAAAAUAAGGGUCACAUUGAAGCGCACAUGUGUGUGGUUGUGUGAGAGAUCAUUUAAUUAAUGUUCACUAGCUUUGUAUGAUGAAUUAUAUGGUGCUUAGUUUCUUAGAAAGUUCUGUUUUUUAGAGUCAUGCAGUAAGUAGUCUGAAGACUAACUAAUGGAUACUAUUAUUUAAAAAUACUAUAUAAAUAGUAUUUGGCACUAUUCAUAGGCCAUAACAAAUGACAAAAUAGUCAAAUUGUACCCACCAAUUAUUAGAACAUGAGUUCCCAAAGAAAAUUCUGAUUAUUAAUUUAUGGAUAAAUUGCAGCCAAUAUUGCUAAGACCUAACAUAUAUAGUGAUUAAUUAAAUAAAAAAUAAUUACAUUAAAAUGAUAAAUUACAUCCGUAGUACCUUGAAAAUAUUUAAUUCUUCAUUUAAAAUCAAUAAAUUCAUUUUUUUUAUGACUAGUCAACCUAUAUGACUUCUCAUUAUUUGAUACUUGAAUCAAUUAAUUUAACGAGUUAUAUAUUUUUCCUCCAAAUUAAUUAUUUAUUCGCGUUACAUACAAGAAAAUAAAUUAAAUAAAAACCAAUCAUCGGAGAGAGCCCUAGUACUUGAUUAUAAAUACAUAUAAUCAAUUAAUCAUCCACAUAUAUAAUAAUUCAGCAAUAACAAAAUAAAUAUAUGGGAUGAAAAAAAGAGGAAAAUAAAUUGAAGGGAAGGGUGAAAAAAGAAAGAAAAGGGACAGUUCACGUGGAAAGAUUCAUAUAUAGUGUGGAUAAAUUGCAUAAAAUUGGUAAGUCCAACUGCACCCACUAUUUGUUUAUUAAUAAGUGAGAUCUGGUUGUUACGUGUAUUCAAGGCUCUUCUCCCAUGGUAUCCUAUGCUAAUUUGCUAAUGUCCUACCACAUAUAUAUACCAUUAAUUAAUUUAUUCACAAUAUCGUAUCAUACAAUCACAUACAAAUCUUUUUUUCUUUUUCUUUUUUAAUCUAAAUCAUUAAUUAUGAGGUUGUCAUAAAAAAAUAUUAUUGAUGACAAUGUAAAUCAUACAAUGAUCAAUUAUGACAAUCAUAUAGUAUCAUAUAGUGAUCGAUGAUUCAGAUUGACAUGCUCAUGUACCUGGUAUUAUAUACAUCCUUCGUCCAUCAAAUGAUUUCAUAACUUUUCUUUUAAUAGGAGAAGUUACGUGUAUAUGGAUUGAAUCGGGUAUAAAAACCAAUUUUAUUCCAUGGCUUUAAUAUGUAAGUAAAUCAUUAUUUUAAGCUUAAUAUAUCAAUCUUAAUCAUCCCUCAAUUAAAAUGAAUAUAUGACCUAAAUUGGUUUCUACUUAAGUAAUCAAGAUGGUUUUAUUUGAUCAUUCAAGCAUUCUACUAAUAUAGUAUAGUGUAUACCAUUUUCUCAUGUAGUUAAAUGGGUGGGUGAUCGAUCUUAAUUAUAAUUAAAAGAUUUUAAAUAUAUUUGAAUUUUCGCCUCAAAAAAUAUAUAUAUUUGAAUUUUGUCGACAGCCUCUUAGAAUUUGAAAUUUGGAGAUGGUUAAGGGGGGUGGAUUUCAAGGGGGUGGAAGGGAGGUGGCAAACAUUGCAUUAUUGCAUAUUGAGAUUUAGAUAAUUAAUUAAUUAAUUGCUCUAAAAAAAGAUUAGAUAAUUAAUGUUUCCGAUUCUAACAGCACCGAAUCAGAGGGGUUUGGAAACAUCCUCGCCGUUUUAGUCACCGUAUCGGAAUUUGUACAAUAAUAACUUAAAUAAUUUCUAUUUUAAUUGUAUUUUUUUAGGGGUCUAUUUUUAAUUGUGUUUUUUGUACAUCUUCAUUAUUUUUCAUGUAUACCAUUGGUUCUCCCUUCCUCCGAUUGAAACAAAAUCUUAUUUUUACUCGUAAUCCAAGUAUUUUUUUUUAUUAUUAUUUUUGAAUUACAAGAGAUAUCUAAAUAUUAUAUAAUUAAAAACCUGCACCAAAAAAGGUGAAAAAUAUUUGUGCCGCACGAGAGGAACCACUACACCACACAAAGAUAAAAAAAAUACACCGCAUGCAGGCGGAAUUGAACUCUGUUCAAGCUAAUGAAUCAAAUUUACAACAAUUUUAGCGCAAAAGUGAUUUUCAUAGUUGUAGUGCGUAGAGCUACAACUUGUGACCAAAAAUGAUAUACGUGGCUAGCAAUGUGGACGACACAUCGUUGGGGUCACGUUCAAAAUAAGAUAAAUUAAAAAAAAUAGAUUGGAUUAAAAUUAUCACAAAAUCAUAAUAUUAAGAUAAAUUUGUAUCCACCUACAAUAUUAUUUCAUCUAUGUUAGAUUAUGUGUCGUCGACCAAUUAUAAUCUGACACUAUAUCACUUUUCAACAAUUUUAUAAAUGCAAAUUCAAUUUUCUAAAAUUAAAAUUAUCACAAAAUCAUACUAUCUGCUCAUUCGAUCGUAUCUUCCAUAAUUUUUUUAAAGUUAGAAUAUUUCAAGGUGGAAAAAAAGAAAUUAAAACGACAAAAAUAGAAAGUAUGGGAAAAGCAAGGUAAAAUAGAAGAUAUAAUCCAAAAACCGCGUGAGAAGUGGUGGGAGCCCAUUUAGUUACCACUUUUAUAACUUUUUCAAGUAACGUAACUUCUAAACUUGCAGUUAUAGUUAGCACUAAUCCCAAAAAGUAAUGUCAAUUCCCCUCUCUCUCUCUCUCUACAUUUAGAUACACAUAUACAUACAUAUAAAUGGAUUGAAUGAAUUUAAUUAAUGUAGAACACCUCAUAAGCUCAGUAUCAACAGCAGAGCAUCACUUUAGACAGCAAUGGGAAUAAUGAGACCAAAUGUCAUCUAAGUUAAGAAUCUUUUUGGUCUAAAUAGGCUUCUAUUUUUUGCAUUAAUGUGAUCACUUAGGUUUAUGCCAUUUUAAAGUGAUUCUUCAAGAUUGUGGUUGUAUUUAUGUGGAGUAAAAGACAGAAUUAGACGUUACGACAGAAUGUGUAUUACUGGAUAUAUAUAGCGUGAUAUAAUCAACCGUUAUAAUUAUAGGCAAAUGGCUCUAUAUGUGAUAUUGGGAUGCUUAUACCUAGCUCAACUCAUCUUUGAUCAUCAAUUGCAAGAUGAAUAGGAAAGUUGAAAAUUGCAAUUUGUAGAAUCAUUAGUCCCUCAAAAUAAGCAAGGAAAAAGCACUUUGCAAUCUCCCUUUUUUCAAGCUUAAGUCAUCAUAAGUGUGAUAUAGAAGGAAAAGGCAAUGCUUACUUAUUUUAGGCUAUGAUGAUAAUAGGUCUAUUUUACUCUACACUCCAACUAAACCUAAAAUCAACUAUAUACCAAUUUUUCUAUACACCCACAAAAGCAUUACAAUAUCGAUUUAAAUCUGAAUCCCCAACUCGACAAACUGUGAGAUCGGCAAUAUCAUACAAGAUCUUCUUUAAUCAAAUACGACAAGCGGAAAACAGAACAUAGCGUAAAAUCUCACGAUUGCUAAAAAUGAAAGAAUUUUGGACAUAAAAGGCAUCUCAUCAAAUAGAAAGUGUAUGAUAUUAUGCAUUAAAUGAUCAAAACAAGCCAGAAAUAAAGGAGGCAAACAAAAAAAAUCCUUUCAAGAAUGGUAAAUCCAGCCCCAAAACCUGCAAAAAUCACAACAUAUUUCAUGUGCUAGGAGCCCUAGCUAUGACAAGCAACAAAAAAGAAAAGGAAAAUAGAAAUGGCAACAAACCAAGAAAAAGCCAAGAUUUGUGAAUUUAAGGAGAAAAAAAGAAACCCAAGAUUGAGAUGCAUCACCUCCAAAAGCAAACAGUUCAUGACAUAGACAUGUUACAAAAGUUAGCUCACUUGUGUAAGAAUAAAGAAACCCCCCCAACCCCCACCCACCCCCUACCACCCCACCCUCCCCACCCCCACCCCCCACCCUUUCCCUCACUCAAUUACCUUACAUCGCACGCCUCCCCCCCACCCUUAUACAUAAACAUAUAUUGACGCAAAAAAUAAAUUCACACACACUCUCUCAUUUUGCUUAUCAAAAAAACCUCACCAUUCCCCGCCCCCACAACACACGCCUCCGGCCCCCCCAAGCCCCCCAUCGGCAUCGAGGCGAAAUCCGGCGCGAGUAACGAUGUCUGCAGAUCUCGAAAUCAGACUUCCAAUCAUCGAUGCUGCGCCGACUUCUCAAGAUUCCGACAAGAUUGACAGCAUUGAUGGCGACAGCGAGAGCUGCAUCAGUGAGGAGGAAGAGUGCCUGACUCCGAAAUCAACGGAGCACAUGAUCCCGGCGGCGCUCAGCCCCCCGCCGGCGCCGAAGAAGCCGCUGCGGCGGCGGGGCUCCUCGUGCAAGAGGAAGCUCUACGAGCUCGACUUCUUCGAGGCCGUGGCCGAGGACAAGAUCGACGCCUUCUUCAGAAAGGCUGAGGAAAAUAUCGGCGGCGCCGUCGCCGCCGCCGCAAAGAGGAGAUGCGUGGUGUAAAGAGGAUUUCGGCUGACACGUGUUGUCUUGUUAAUGGUGAAAAUUUAUUUGUUUUUUUUUAUAUAGAGAAAUUAGUUUGGUUUGAGAAAGAAUUCUCAAGCCUAUGAUCAUGAUUCAUGAUCUUUAUGAAUUAUGUAUGUAGAUUAAUUACACGGUUUUUUUAUUUCUUUUAUAUAUAAUUGAAUUAUCUUUCUAUGAAUCUCCGAUUAUUGAGUUGAUUUAAUUUGUAGUUCUUGAUCAUAAAUUGAUUGGUGAUCAGGUAAAAAUAAUUUUUUGAUUUUUCGUGUUGG